RNAcentral lists this ribosomal RNA (249 nucleotides) under uncultured Lactobacillus sp. Its description in RNAcentral is "partial 16S ribosomal RNA". It matches the Rfam family "Bacterial small subunit ribosomal RNA", at positions 114 to 354 of the family's 1533-position model. The record is from RNAcentral. Lineage: Bacteria; Bacillati; Bacillota; Bacilli; Lactobacillales; Lactobacillaceae.
CACGUGGGGAACCUGCCCCAUAGUCUGGGAUACCACUUGGAAACAGGUGCUAAUACCGGAUAAGAAAGCAGAUCGCAUGAUCAGCUUUUAAAAGGCGGCGUAAGCUGUCGCUAUGGGAUGGCCCCGCGGUGCAUUAGCUAGUUGGUAAGGUAAAGGCUUACCAAGGCGAUGAUGCAUAGCCGAGUUGAGAGACUGAUCGGCCACAUUGGGACUGAGACACGGCCCAAACUCCUACGGGAGGCAGCAGAG